RNAcentral lists this long non-coding RNA (2529 nucleotides) under Varanus komodoensis (Komodo dragon). RNAcentral describes it as "lncRNA (ENSVKKG00000006666.1)". Lineage: Eukaryota; Metazoa; Chordata; Lepidosauria; Squamata; Varanidae. The record is from RNAcentral.
GCACCCUGAAAAUGGGGGGCAAACUAGGAAGAGGGUUUUAUGAAUGUCAACCAUCUCAACCAUCUUAAUUUUAUAUUGAGGGUGGGUGGGUGGGGGGAGAUCUGGUUUUACCUGCAAACAUUUCUAGAUAUGACCCAUUUCUAAAUAGACAUGGUUCCAUUUUGUAAAGUGAUCGUGUGUGUGAGCGCGUGUGUAUGUGUGUGUGUACACAGAGAUGGUAAACACAUCCUUGCUCAACAAGCACUGAGCAGAAAAUAAAUGCAGUGGACUUAUUUUCUCUUGCACUGGACACUCCCAGAUAGACUCAUCCAUGCCAAGCUACAACUUCAUAUGAAACCGUGUAGAUUUGAAGGAAGAAAAUGAAUUCCAGCUGCUUCAGACAUCAUGUCAGAGGCUGGAGAUUCGCCAGCUCUCCAUCUGUGAACACCAGUGAAAAGGAUGGAGGAAUGAGAAAAGCUUGUGCACAUGUGCAAAGAGGAGAUAAAGACAGCAGUACCCAACGGGCUGGCUUGAAUGAUAAAAUGAACUCUCCAUCAACUGCCAUUUUGCCAGAAAAAAUACUGGAAGAAGUGGUAGGGAGCCAGAAUUACAACUGAAGCACAUCAUCAUCUGAACUCUCCAGUACAACUCCAUAAAUAAGCUGGGACUGAUGGCAUGAAAAGAGCCAUCUCAGGAAACCGAGAUUUCUGAGAUUUGGAUGCCGAGACUAUCUCAGGAAACUGGUCCUCUACCACCUUCCCAGUCAUCAUUGAGGAAGUGUCAUGAAGUGCUUUUUAGCUUCAAAUUGGACAACAUUUCCUUUUCAUUACAUCUUAAGGUGAACUUCUUGCUGGUGUGCCUUUUUGCAGAAGCCCAGCUCAAAUAUUAUGCAGUGUGCAUAUGUUAAAACAAACGGUCACAGAAUUUCUUCUCCUUGUACAAGAACAUUUUAGGCAUAUGUGGUUGCCCUUUUCAACUCCUUACUAUCUUGUUCCCCUUCUCUGUUCUUUUUCACGCACCCUGCUAAAUAUGUGGAGCCUGUGCUUCUUUCUUGUCCCCUGUCCAGAUGAAAUGGGCCUGUAUCAAGGCUGGCCCUGCUGCCAGACAGUGAGUCAGAUGCCCCCAGGCAGCUGAUUUGGGGUGUCAGAAGGACAGCAGAUGUUUUAUGGUUGCAUUUGCACUGACAAGGAGGGAAGAAUGUCUGCCUCUGAUUUCAUAAGAACUUGGUUUGCCUGCGUACUUUCCCUCUUGCCAGCGGCUGGGGGAAGGCAGCACUGAUUUGCAUUUGGAUGUCUCGGGUCCACCCUGAUGGCAAUGACACAUAUUGCAGCCACAUAGCAAGAUGCAAAAUAUUGGUGAUUAGCUUUGGAUUCGCAACAUGUGGUGUGCAUUGCAGGCUCUCAGCUGAAAACCACUUACUUCACUGGCACAUUUGUGUUUCAUUAAGCAAUUGCUGUCUAAUGAAAUGGUUAUGAAGGUCAUAUGAGCAGCCACGCUUGAAGACAGGGCUGUGCUGGAAUGGUAUUUUUCAUUUUGUUUUGCAUGUCACUUAUUGUCAAAAAAUCUUUUUGUUUUGACACAUGCUUUUGGCCAGCUCCUCGGCUUCAUCUGUUUUUUCCUCCAAGUUUCCAGUGCUCUGGGCAACUGCAUAGCCUCUGAGUGUGCCCACAGGACUCGAGAAAAUUCAGUUCUGCUGUGAAUACCACCAGGAGAAACAGUUUGGCAAUUAUCAGCUUGACCUCAUACCAUGAUAAAACCACUCUAGACUCAAGCCUAUCCUCCACAUGCAGCUACGUGUGCAGUCAUUUGUACUUAACAGGAUUAGUCGAUGGCAUUAAAUGAACAGCCCAUCAUGCACACCCGAUCCACAAAAGGUUAGGUAUGCCUCAGCCUAACUUUAUGAAGCAAACUAGCAAAGAAAGACAUGCAAAUUAAUAUUUCAGCUUUUCUUGUCGUUGCAGGCCAUCAAGUCAUCUCUGACCUGCAGUGGCCUGUGAAUGAACGCCCUCCCAAAUGCCCCAUCCCUGAUAGCCCUGUGCAGCUCUUGCAAAUUCAGGGCUGUGGCUGCCUUUACGGAGACAAUUCAUCUCAUGUUGAACAUUUUGGCUAAGCUUUAUGAACUCAUGAGCAGGGGCUUGUUCUGUGCAGAGCUCCAAGGGUCUCCUAUUUGCAUAUGCUUGAGAAUGAUUAUUUUUCUUUUAAAAUGUCAAGAUUAAGUGCGACCUGACACAUGCUGCCCCCCUGUGAAGCUCCUGUGACAGCCUGUGAUCGCAUGAUUGCUUUUCUGCACUGGAAACAAUGACAGUAGUGGCAGUAAAAAGCCCAAAUGGGGAUAUUCGGGCAUGGCUAAAAGCCUGGUUGUUGGAGAGCGGAGGGUUGGGGGAAUCCAUGUGCUAUUUCAUCCUGCUGAAGUCCAUACCUUCCCCUUUGGGAUUUCUAAAGAAAGGCCAGUGGUUCAUCUUGAAAGUACACAGGGUGUGAGUGCUCAAGCCAGCACCAAAGGAAACACAGGGCUACUUUGCAUGUGCCCCUGAACCGAAGCAGACUUCC